This is a long non-coding RNA of Manis javanica (Malayan pangolin), 451 nucleotides long. RefSeq lists it as uncharacterized. The record is from RefSeq and is a predicted model, not a curated record. Lineage: Eukaryota; Metazoa; Chordata; Mammalia; Pholidota; Manidae.
UUAACCAGUUCCGGGACCGACCCGGACACACCUAGGGCGGGCGCUGUGCCCCCCAGAUCGUGCCUCUCAGACUCGAUUCUGAUCAGAUGUGCCCCCUGAUUUCUUCACCCACAUCAAGCCAACCGUGCUGGUUGCACUGAAUUCCCAGUUGCCCAGUUUCCAGGGGUCAUCUGAACCGCUCGGCGCGCUCCGCGGUCGGUACACUGGGGGUUGGAUGCCAACUCGGGAAUUACGCGCACUGUACUCCGGAAUGGAAGGCCUGCCGGCGGGUUCCUCGUCAGUAAAAUGGAAAUUCGUCAGAGAAUGAGAUGCAAACGCAAAUGGAAUGCUUAAGACUGAGCCCUCACAGUGGAAACAUUUACAUUGUUAUCUAAUGUUAGUACCUUAAAGAAGCAGUGGUUUAUCUAAAUCUAACAAUAGGUGAAAAAUUAAAUAAAACUCCUUCAGCCUA